AAGUCGUAACAAGGUCUCCGUAGGUGAACCUGCGGAGGGAUCAUUAACACAGAGGGAGCAGCACCAGUGAGGGGACUCUUUCAACGGAGCACCAACGCUGGUACUGACACUUCUCUUCUCAACACCCAUCUCGCGUGAACUACUAUGACCCUUCUUUUCUGCCUUCGCAGCGCUUGCUGUGGUGGCUUUUUCAUUUUUGAAAUGAAACCCUUUCCAAUGUUAUUUCAACACUUGUAACUGUGCUGGAGCUCUGUGUGUGUGUGUGUGUCGUGUCUGGUGCGAACUAGCGCGCAUCGCAUCGCAUGGUCUCUGAAACUAUUACGAACUACAAUAGAGUACAACUCUUAGCAACGGAUAUCUUGGUUCUC
RNAcentral lists this unclassified non-coding RNA (368 nucleotides) under fungal sp. RNAcentral's name for it is "partial internal transcribed spacer region". The stretch from base 1 to 46 matches the Rfam family "Eukaryotic small subunit ribosomal RNA", at positions 1786 to 1831 of the family's 1831-position model. Lineage: Eukaryota; Fungi. The record is from RNAcentral.